RNAcentral lists this ribosomal RNA (401 nucleotides) under uncultured Trichococcus sp. RNAcentral describes it as "partial 16S rRNA". It matches the Rfam family "Bacterial small subunit ribosomal RNA", at positions 1098 to 1501 of the family's 1533-position model. Lineage: Bacteria; Bacillati; Bacillota; Bacilli; Lactobacillales; Carnobacteriaceae. The record is from RNAcentral.
CCCCYUWUUKUUWAKUKCCMMCMAUUCAGUUGGCCACUCUAAUGAGACUGCCGGUGACAAACCGGAGGAGGGUGGGGAUGACGUCAAAUCAUCAUGCCCCUUAUGACCUGGGCUACACACGUGCUACAAUGGAUGGUACAACGAGCAGCAAGACCGCGAGGUCAAGCGAAUCUCUUAAAGCCAUUCUCAGUUCGGAUUGCAGGCUGCAACUCGCCUGCAUGAAGCCGGAAUCGCUAGUAAUCGCGGAUCAGCACGCCGCGGUGAAUACGUUCCCGGGUCUUGUACACACCGCCCGUCACACCACGAGAGUUUGUAACACCCGAAGUCGGUGAGGUAACCUUUUUGGAGCCAGCCGCCCAAGGUGGGACAGAUGAUUGGGGUGAAGUCGUAACAAGGUAACC